Molecule: ribosomal RNA, 1343 nt
Filed under: uncultured bacterium
Lineage: Bacteria
Description: 16S ribosomal RNA
Rfam family: Bacterial small subunit ribosomal RNA
Source: RNAcentral
GACGAACGCUGGCGGCGUGCUUAACACAUGCAAGUCGAACGGAAAGGCCCUGCUUUUGUGGGGUGCUCGAGUGGCGAACGGGUGAGUAACACGUGAGUAACCUGCCCUUGACUUUGGGAUAACUUCAGGAAACUGGGGCUAAUACCGGAUAGGAGCUCCUGCUGCAUGGUGGGGGUUGGAAAGUUUCGGCGGUUGGGGAUGGACUCGCGGCUUAUCAGCUUGUUGGUGGGGUAGUGGCUUACCAAGGCUUUGACGGGUAGCCGGCCUGAGAGGGUGACCGGCCACAUUGGGACUGAGAUACGGCCCAGACUCCUACGGGGGGCAGCAGUGGGGAAUAUUGCACAAUGGGCGGAAGCCUGAUGCAGCAACGCCGCGUGCGGGAUGACGGCCUUCGGGUUGUAAACCGCUUUCGCCUGUGACGAAGCGUGAGUGACGGUAAUGGGUAAAGAAGCACCGGCUAACUACGUGCCAGCAGCCGCGGUGAUACGUAGGGUGCGAGCGUUGUCCGGAUUUAUUGGGCGUAAAGGGCUCGUAGGUGGUUGAUCGCGUCGGAAGUGUAAUCUUGGGGCUUAACCCUGAGCGUGCUUUCGAUACGGGUUGACUUGAGGAAGGUAGGGGAGAAUGGAAUUCCUGGUGGAGCGGUGGAAUGCGCAGAUAUCAGGAGGAACACCAGUGGCGAAGGCGGUUCUCUGGGCCUUUCCUGACGCUGAGGAGCGAAAGCGUGGGGAGCGAACAGGCUUAGAUACCCUGGUAGUCCACGCUGUAAACGGUGGGUACUAGGUGUGGGGUCCAUUCCACGGGUUCCGUGCCGUAGCUAACGCUUUAAGUACCCCGCCUGGGGAGUACGGCCGCAAGGCUAAAACUCAAAGGAAUUGACGGGGCCCCGCACAAGCGGCGGAGCAUGCGGAUUAAUUCGAUGCAACGCGUAGAACCUUACCUGGGUUUGACAUGGAUCGGGAGUGCUCAGAGAUGGGUGUGCCUCUUUUGGGGUCGGUUCACAGGUGGUGCAUGCCUGUCGUCAGCUCGUGUCGUGAGAUGUUGGGUUAAGUCCCGCAACGAGCGCAACCCUUGUUCACUGUUGCCAGCACGUUAUGGUGGGGACUCAGUGGAGACCGCCGGGGUCAACUCGGAGGAAGGUGGGGAUGACGUCAAGUCCUCAUGCCCCUUAUGUCCAGGGCUUCACGCAUGCUACAAUGGCUGGUACAGAGAGUGGCGAGCCUGUGAGGGUGAGCGAAUCUCGGAAAGCCGGUCUCAGUUCGGAUUGGGGUCUGCAACUCGACCUCAUGAAGUCGGAGUCGCUAGUAAUCGCAGAUCAGCAACGCUGCGGUGAAUACGUUCCCGGG